RNAcentral lists this ribosomal RNA (428 nucleotides) under uncultured bacterium. Its description in RNAcentral is "bacterial SSU rRNA". It matches the Rfam family "Bacterial small subunit ribosomal RNA", at positions 917 to 1344 of the family's 1533-position model. The record is from RNAcentral.
GGGCCCGCACAAGCGGUGGAGUAUGUGGUUUAAUUCGAUGCAACGCGAAGAACCUUACCAGGGUUUGACAUCCUGCGAAUCUCUUGGAAACAGGAGAGUGCCUUCGGGAACGCAGUGACAGGUGGUGCAUGGCUGUCGUCAGCUCGUGUCGUGAGAUGUUGGGUUAAGUCCCGUAACGAGCGCAACCCCUGUUGUUAGUUGCCAGCGAGUAAUGUCGGGAACUCUAGCAAGACUGCCAGUGCAAACUGUGAGGAAGGUGGGGAUGACGUCAAAUCAUCACGGCCCUUACGUCCUGGGCUACACACGUGCUACAAUGGUAGGUACAGAGAGCAGCCAAUGCGCGAGCAUGAGCAAAUCCCAUAAACCGUGGCUCAGUUCAGAUCGUAGGCUGCAACUCGCCUACGUGAAGGCGGAAUCGCUAGUAAUCG